Molecule: ribosomal RNA, 468 nt
Filed under: uncultured bacterium
Lineage: Bacteria
Description: partial 16S ribosomal RNA
Rfam family: Bacterial small subunit ribosomal RNA
Source: RNAcentral
GACGAACGCUGGCGGCGUGCUUAACACAUGCAAGUCGAACGGAAAGGCCCUGCUUUUGUGGGGUGCUCGAGUGGCGAACGGGUGAGUAACACGUGAGUAACCUGCCCUUGACUUUGGGAUAACUUCAGGAAACUGGGGCUAAUACCGGAUAGGAGCUCCUGCUGCAUGGUGGGGGUUGGAAAGUUUCGGCGGUUGGGGAUGGACUCGCGGCUUAUCAGCUUGUUGGUGGGGUAGGGGCUUACCAAGGCUUUGACGGGUAGCCGGCCUGAGAGGGUGACCGGCCACAUGGGGACUGAGAUACGGCCCAGACUCCUACGGGAGGCAGCAGGGGGGAAUAUGGCACAAUGGGCGGAAGCCUGAUGCAGCAACGCCGCGUGCGGGAUGACGGCCUUCGGGUUGUAAACCGCUUUCGACUGUGACGAAGCGGGAGUGACGGUAAUGGAUAAAGAAGCACCGGCUAACUACGUG